This 434-nucleotide ribosomal RNA is filed under the name uncultured bacterium. RNAcentral describes it as "partial 16S ribosomal RNA". It matches the Rfam family "Bacterial small subunit ribosomal RNA", at positions 29 to 507 of the family's 1533-position model. The record is from RNAcentral.
AUGAACGCUGGCGGUAUGCUUAACACAUGCAAGUCGAACGGACUCUUCGGAGUUAGUGGCGGACGGGUGAGUAACGCGUGAGAAUCUGGCUUUGGGUUCGGGACAACCACUGGAAACGGUGGCUAAUACCGGAUGUGCCGAGAGGUAAAAGAGAAAUUGCCUGAAGAUGAGCUCGCGUCUGAUUAGCUAGUUGGUGAGGUAAAGGCUCACCAAGGCAGCGAUCAGUAGCUGGUCUGAGAGGAUGACCAGCCACACUGGGACUGAGACACGGCCCAGACCCCUACGGGAGGCAGCAGUGGGGAAUUUUCCGCAAUGGGCGAAAGCCUGACGGAGCAAUACCGCGUGAGGGAAGAAGGCUCUUGGGUUGUAAACCUCUUUUCUUAGGGAAGAACAAAAUGACGGUACCUAAGGAAUCAGCAUCGGCUAACUCCGUG